GGUUGUGGCUCAGUGGUAAAGCGCUUGCCUAGCAUGUGCGAGGCCCUCAGUUCAGUCCUCAGCACCA
This 67-nucleotide transfer RNA is filed under the name Marmota monax (woodchuck). RNAcentral describes it as "tRNA.Ala". The record is from RNAcentral. Lineage: Eukaryota; Metazoa; Chordata; Mammalia; Rodentia; Sciuridae.